AUCGAUAAAGAGCGCAGUCAACUGCGUGAAUUUAUUUAAACUGCAUACUGCUUGGAACAUGGACAUCUCGAACGCAUAUUGCGGCCAUGGGUUAGCCUGUGCCCACGCCUGUCCGUGGGUCU
Molecule: ribosomal RNA, 122 nt
Filed under: Echinostoma caproni
Lineage: Eukaryota; Metazoa; Platyhelminthes; Trematoda; Plagiorchiida; Echinostomatidae
Description: 5.8S ribosomal RNA
Rfam family: 5.8S ribosomal RNA
About the family: 5.8S ribosomal RNA (5.8S rRNA) is a component of the large subunit of the eukaryotic ribosome. It is transcribed by RNA polymerase I as part of the 45S precursor that also contains 18S and 28S rRNA. Functionally, it is thought that 5.8S rRNA may be involved in ribosome translocation.
Source: Rfam by way of RNAcentral